Molecule: ribosomal RNA, 344 nt
Filed under: Clostridioides difficile
Lineage: Bacteria; Bacillati; Bacillota; Clostridia; Peptostreptococcales; Peptostreptococcaceae
Description: bacterial LSU rRNA
Rfam family: Bacterial large subunit ribosomal RNA
Source: RNAcentral
GUUGGCUUAGAAGCAGCCACUCAUUCAAAGAGUGCGUAAUAGCUCACUGGUCGAGUGAUCCUGCGCCGAAGAUUUCCGGGGCUAAAACUUACUACCGAAGCUACGGCAUCAGUAAUGAUGGGUAGGGGGGCUUCCCAUACGGGUUGAAGCAGGACCGUAAGGACAUGUGGACAGUAUGGGAGUGAGAAUGUUGGCAUGAGUAGCGAGAUGUGGGUGAGAAUCCCACAGGCCGUAAACCCAAGGUUUCCAGGGGAAGGUUCGUCCGCCCUGGGUUAGUCGGGACCUAAGCUGAGGCCGAAAGGCGUAGGUGAUGGACAACAGGUUGAUAUUCCUGUACUACCGAU